CCUACGGGGGGCAGCAGUGGGGAAUAUUGGACAAUGGGGGGAACCCUGAUCCAGCCAUGCCGCGUGUGUGAAGAAGGCCCUCGGGUUGUAAAGCACUUUCAGUGAGGAAGAACGCCUGGUGGUUAAUACCCAUCAGGAAAGACAUCACUCACAGAAGAAGCACCGGCUAACUCCGUGCCAGCAGCCGCGGUAAUACGGAGGGUGCGAGCGUUAAUCGGAAUUACUGGGCGUAAAGCGCGCGUAGGUGGCUUGAUAAGCCGGUUGUGAAAGCCCCGGGCUCAACCUGGGAACGGCAUCCGGAACUGUCAAGCUAGAGUGCAGGAGAGGAAGGUAGAAUUCCCGGUGUAGCGGUGAAAUGCGUAGAGAUCGGGAGGAAUACCAGUGGCGAAGGCGGACUUCUGGACUGACACUGACACUGAGGUGCGAAAGCGUGGGUAGCAAACAGGAUUAGAUACCCUGGUAGUC
This 465-nucleotide ribosomal RNA is filed under the name Vreelandella stevensii. Its description in RNAcentral is "partial 16S ribosomal RNA". It matches the Rfam family "Bacterial small subunit ribosomal RNA", at positions 338 to 795 of the family's 1533-position model. The record is from RNAcentral. Lineage: Bacteria; Pseudomonadati; Pseudomonadota; Gammaproteobacteria; Oceanospirillales; Halomonadaceae.